UUGAACGCUGGCGGCAUGCCUUACACAUGCAAGUCGAACGGUAGAGUAGCAAUACUCGAGAGUGGCGAACGGGUGAGUAAUAUAUCGGAACGUGCCCAGUCGUGGGGGAUAACGUAGAGAAAUUUACGCUAAUACCGCAUACGAUCUAAGGAUGAAAGCGGGGGACUCGCAAGGGCCUCGCGCGAUUGGAGCGGCUGAUAUCAGAUUAGCUAGUUGGUGAGGUAAAGGCUCACCAAGGCGACGAUCCGUAGCUGGUCUGAGAGGACGACCAGCCACACUGGAACUGAGACACGGUCCAGACUCCUACGGGAGGCAGCAGUGGGGAAUUUUGGACAAUGGGGGCAACCCUGAUCCAGCCAUUCCGCGUGAGUGAAGAAGGCCUUCGGGUUGUAAAACUCUUUCGGCAGGAACGAAACGGUGAGCUCUAACAUAGCUUGCUAAUGACGGUACCUGAAGAAGAAGCACCGGCUAACUACGU
This 478-nucleotide ribosomal RNA is filed under the name uncultured bacterium. RNAcentral's name for it is "bacterial SSU rRNA". It matches the Rfam family "Bacterial small subunit ribosomal RNA", at positions 30 to 506 of the family's 1533-position model. The record is from RNAcentral.